This 490-nucleotide ribosomal RNA is filed under the name uncultured bacterium. Its description in RNAcentral is "partial 16S ribosomal RNA". It matches the Rfam family "Bacterial small subunit ribosomal RNA", at positions 30 to 507 of the family's 1533-position model. The record is from RNAcentral.
AUUGAACGCUGGCGGCAUGCUUUACACAUGCAAGUCGGACGGCAGCACAGAGAAGCUUGCUUCUUGGGUGGCGAGUGGCGAACGGGUGAGUAAUAUAUCGGAACGUACCGAGUAAUGGGGGAUAACUAAUCGAAAGAUUAGCUAAUACCGCAUAUUCUCUGAGGAGGAAAGCAGGGGACCUUCGGGCCUUGCGUUAUUCGAGCGGCCGAUAUCUGAUUAGCUAGUUGGUGGGGUAAAGGCCUACCAAGGCGACGAUCAGUAGCGGGUCUGAGAGGAUGAUCCGCCACACUGGGACUGAGACACGGCCCAGACUCCUACGGGAGGCAGCAGUGGGGAAUUUUGGACAAUGGGCGCAAGCCUGAUCCAGCCAUGCCGCGUGUCUGAAGAAGGCCUUCGGGUUGUAAAGGACUUUUGUCAGGGAAGAAUAGGCUGUUGCUAAUAUCAAUAGCUGAUGACGGUACCUGAAGAAUAAGCACCGGCUAACUACGUG